UCCAGACUCCUACGGGAGGCAGCAGUGAGGAAUAUUGGUCAAUGGGCGCGAGCCUGAACCAGCCAAGUCGCGUGAGGGAAGACGGUCCUAUGGGUUGUAAACCUCUUUUGUCGGGGAGCAAAAGCCGGACGUGUCCGGCUGUGAGAGUACCCGAAGAAAAAGCAUCGGCUAACUCCGUGCCAGCAGCCGCGGUAAUACGGAGGAUGCGAGCGUUAUCCGGAUUUAUUGGGUUUAAAGGGUGCGCAGGCGGAUUUUUAAGUCAGCGGUCAAAUCGUGGGGCUCAACCCCAUCCAGCCGUUGAAACUGGGGAUCUAGAGUGUGCGAGAGGUAUGCGGAAUGCGUGGUGUAGCGGUGAAAUGCAUAGAUAUCGCGCAGAACUCCGAUUGCGAAGGCAGCAUGCCGGCUCCACACUGACGCUGAGGCACGAAAGCGUGGGUAUCGAACAGGAUUAGAUACCCCCGUA
RNAcentral lists this ribosomal RNA (463 nucleotides) under uncultured bacterium. Its description in RNAcentral is "bacterial SSU rRNA". It matches the Rfam family "Bacterial small subunit ribosomal RNA", at positions 330 to 792 of the family's 1533-position model. The record is from RNAcentral.